CCAAACGGACCCAGCACACGUUCAACCGGCGGCACACACUUGUAGCGACUGAUGCUGACGUCCAUUCGGCCAGCCAGCGACGUCUUGGGGUGAUGUCGUGCAUCGUGCAAACACCAAUGCCCCAGCAGUACUGCUUAUGCCGCGCGCCUCCGGCAACCACCCACCCCGGCAUGCCACUUGAGAGUACUUUUGCAACUACAAAAACGCUACGACAACAUCAGUUGAUCGGUCGGUCGCGCGGGGUAUGCUGAAAUAGCUGAAACAUGGAACGCCAAAUGUGAAACGGAAUUUGAAGCGCUUAGCGGCGAUCAUCUGUCUACAUGAGAAAACCACUAAGUUUUGCCGCCUUGGUAGACUACUGGUGAAUUUAAGGGCAUGAGUAGUUCACAUACCGUAUUUUUUUUUCAAUGCGUAAUAGUUUGGAACUGAUGCUAAAAUCGACAGAUGAGAUAGACAUCCCGCUGAAGAUAACUCCGAAAAAGUGUUAAAUUCUACAGGAUAUAGUAUAUAAAACAAAAUUAGAAUUACGAUGGUUGCUACUUGUGUUUUGCGAUAUGGCAAUAGGAGUGUGAGUA
This is a long non-coding RNA of Anastrepha ludens (Mexican fruit fly), 575 nucleotides long. RefSeq lists it as uncharacterized. The transcript is spliced from 3 exons. The record is from RefSeq and is a predicted model, not a curated record. NCBI's taxonomy places the organism in Eukaryota, Metazoa, Arthropoda, Insecta, Diptera, Tephritidae.